Cyprinus carpio (common carp) is the source of this 357-nucleotide long non-coding RNA. The record is from Ensembl. NCBI's taxonomy places the organism in Eukaryota, Metazoa, Chordata, Actinopteri, Cypriniformes, Cyprinidae.
UUACAAAGAUUUCAACCCUUAAUUCUCUGGUCUGAUGGCUUACAAACACAACAACACAGAAUACUGCAGCGGCAGCCCUUCACAGAUGCACGCCACAAAAUGCACAGCGCCCACAAACAACACUUCACUUUCACAACUUUGAGAGCACACAUGAAGCCCUCUUGUGGUCACUAUGGAGAACAGCACAUGAAAGACUUGUCCUGUAUUCUUGAUCCACAUGAUGGUGAGUUGAAUCCAAAGCCUGUCCUACAGUGUCAGAAAUUCUCUCUGCUCUUCAUACUGUAUUACUCUUUCAGACGCAAGGAGUUUCCCCUGAUCUCUCCAGCUCGAGAUUACUCCCCUGAAACUAAUGUGUGA